This 342-nucleotide ribosomal RNA is filed under the name Triticum aestivum (bread wheat). RNAcentral's name for it is "partial small subunit ribosomal RNA". Lineage: Eukaryota; Viridiplantae; Streptophyta; Magnoliopsida; Poales; Poaceae. The record is from RNAcentral.
AUGAGAAGAAUUGAAGACUUUAGAGCUUGUCAUGAUAUUGCAAGCCUAGCUAAAAGGAUGGUUGAACUUCAAAGGAAUGUUAUGUUUCCUGCCGUUUAUCACCUCAUUGAGUUGGCAUUGCUACUACCGGUAGCGAUGGCAACAGUUGAAAGAGCCUUCUCAUCAAUGAAAAUCAUCGACAGUGAGUUGUGCAGCAAGAUGUCUGAUGCCUGGUUUAAUGACUUGAUGGUGUGUUACAUUGAGCGAGAGAUCUUCAAAAGUAUUGAUCUUCGUAAAAUUAAGGAAGAUUCUCAGAAGGAGGGUAGUGCAUUGACAUUGCCCGGGUCUUCUAGACGCCAUUAA